This is a long non-coding RNA of Onychostoma macrolepis, 437 nucleotides long. RefSeq lists it as uncharacterized. The transcript is spliced from 3 exons. The record is from RefSeq and is a predicted model, not a curated record. NCBI's taxonomy places the organism in Eukaryota, Metazoa, Chordata, Actinopteri, Cypriniformes, Cyprinidae.
CUUGUUUAGCUUUUGUUUGACAGGUAAAGAUACCAUGGUUGAAAAAGGGUGUGUGUGUUUCAUUUGUUGGCGGAAGUUCUGGAACGGCACUGUAACACUAAUACUGUGUGAGGCAUUGUACAGUGCUACAACGGCAUUGUAAUACUGUGUGAGCUAUCCAAGUGCUUAUCUUUGUGCAACUUUCUCCGCAACAAGCGGACUACAUCACGCAAGGUUUGACGUCUUGAUGCAUACUCUGAUGGUGAUGAUGGUGAUGAUGAUGGUGAUGAUAAUAUCCACCAGCAGACGGAUGGAAAGAGGGAGUAGGUGAAUAUGCCAGGAUGCUGCCCCGUGGACGGCGAAUUGCUCGAGACUGUAGUCGGCUGUUUUAGGUAUGGAGAAUUUGAAGAAGAAGCCCAUAGUGCUGUUCCCUCUGAAUAGGGCGAGUGACCCUCAAG